UGCCAGUGAUAAACUGGAGGAAGGUGGGGAUGACGUCAAGUCAUCAUGGCCCUUACGACCAGGGCUACACACGUGCUACAAUGGCGCAUACAAAGAGAAGCGACCUCGCGAGAGCAAGCGGACCUCAUAAAGUGCGUCGUAGUCCGGAUUGGAGUCUGCAACUCGACUCCAUGAAGUCGGAAUCGCUAGUAAUCGUGGAUCAGAAUGCCACGGUGAAUACGUUCCCGGGCCUUGUACACACCGCCCGUCACACCAUGGGAGUGGGUUGCAAAAGAAGUAGGUAGCUUAACCUUCGGGAGGGCGCUUACCACUUUGUGAUUCAUGACUGGGGUGAAGUCGUAACAAGGUAACCGUAGGGGAACCUGCGGUUGGAUCACCUCCUUACCUGAAAGAA
Molecule: ribosomal RNA, 394 nt
Filed under: Salmonella enterica
Lineage: Bacteria; Pseudomonadati; Pseudomonadota; Gammaproteobacteria; Enterobacterales; Enterobacteriaceae
Also listed under: 9 other names
Description: partial 16S ribosomal RNA
Rfam family: Bacterial small subunit ribosomal RNA
Source: RNAcentral